AGAGUUUGAUCAUGGCUCAGGACGAACGCUGGCGGCGUGCCUAAUACAUGCAAGUCGAGCGGACCGAAGGGAGCUUGCUCCUUUAGGUUAGCGGCGGACGGGUGAGUAACACGUGGGCAACCUGCCCUGCAGACUGGGAUAACUUCGGGAAACCGGAGCUAAUACCGGAUAACACCGAAAACCGCAUGGUUUUCGGUUGAAAGGCGGCUUUUAGCUGUCACUGCAGGAUGGGCCCGCGGCGCAUUAGCUAGUUGGUGAGGUAACGGCUCACCAAGGCGACGAUGCGUAGCCGACCUGAGAGGGUGACCGGCCACACUGGGACUGAGACACGGCCCAGACUCCUACGGGAGGCAGCAGUAGGGAAUCUUCCGCAAUGGACGAAAGUCUGACGGAGCAACGCCGCGUGAGCGAAGAAGGUCUUCGGAUCGUAAAGCUCUGUUGUCAGGGAAGAACAAGUACCGUU
RNAcentral lists this ribosomal RNA (463 nucleotides) under Bacillus sp. N-4-55-3. RNAcentral describes it as "bacterial SSU rRNA". It matches the Rfam family "Bacterial small subunit ribosomal RNA", at positions 8 to 460 of the family's 1533-position model. Lineage: Bacteria; Bacillati; Bacillota; Bacilli; Caryophanales; Bacillaceae. The record is from RNAcentral.